AAAAACCACGUCUCCGGCGACCAUAUUUAUCUCCGGCCCUGCUUAAACACCCCGACUGGCCGGCGGUGUGAUUAGAGGAAGGAGGAGGAGGAGGAGAUGAUCGCUACCUCGAGCCUCGACCGUGUGGUCGAGGCGAUGGCGCCACUCUACGCCGCCAUGACCCUUGGCUACGCCGCCGCCCGGUGGUGGCACGCCCUCACCCCCGACCAAUGCGCCGGCAUAAACCGCUUUGUCUCCGUCUUCGCCAUCCCGCUCCUCACCUUCCAACUCCUCUCCUCCAACGACCCCUACGCCAUGAACCCCCGCUUCCUCGCCGCCGACUCCUUCCAAAAGCUUCUCCUCCUCACCAUCCUCUUCAUCUGGGCCCGCCUCCGCCGCCGCCCCGCCUCCGGCGGCUCCUCCUCCUCCCUCCCCUGGGUCAUCACCAUCUUCUCCCUCGCCACGCUCCCUAACACUGUCAUCAUGGGCAUCCCCCUCCUCCGCGGCAUGUAUGGACCUCAGACCGAUUCCCUCAUGGUUCAGAUCGUCGUCCUCCAAGCCGCCGUAUGGUACAAUCUUGUCAUCUUCCUUUACGAGUACAUGGCCGCCCGCUGCGCUGCAACGGAAGGAUGCCAAACGAAUGCUUCGGUCCCGACGACCCUACCGGUCUCGGAGAAAGAGGCUGCUAUUGCUGCCGCCAAUGGGUCGGUGGAAGGAGGAGAAGGGGAGACGAAGCCGCCACCAUCCCCGCCGUCGAUGUGGCGUAUCCUUACGGUGGCUGGGAGGAAGCUUUGUAGGAUCCCAAACACUCACGCCAGCUUUCUUGGCCUCAUCUGGUCUUUCAUCGCUUUCGGGUUUGGAAUCAGAAUGCCUAAAAUUAUUCAUGACUCGGUAACAAUACUAUCUAGCACGGCCAUCGGAUUGAGCAUGUUCAGCAUCGGCACAUUUAUGGCUAGACAGACAAGAUUUAUAUCAUGUGGCUAUUCUGUUGCAGCCUUUGCCAUGGUUGUCAAAUUCCUUGUUGGUCCUUCUAUCAUGAUUGCAACUUCACUUUCUGUUGGACUACAAGGUCUGCUUCUACGAGUAGCUAUUAUCCAGGCUGCUCUUCCCCUUGCAGUUCUUUCAUUUGUUUACGCCAAGGAGUACAAUGUGCAUCCAGAAGUCAUGAGCACUGCGUUGGAGCUUGAAACUCUUAGCUUCAUAGUUCAUUGUUAUCAUUGUCCUACACUUGCAAUUUAUAAUUUUCUGUUUCAUAAUGCAGGGUUAUUCUCGGGAUAUUAUCAUCUGUUCCUAUCACAAUCCUCUAUUACAUGAUAUUAGGGUUAUGGAAGUGAAGAGAGAGAAACUCAUCACCACCUUGCAACAAUCCUGAGGAAGUGUGACAGUGCGGUAUUCAGGCUAUCUAUCCAUUCAGUUCUGAUUUGAGACGCUCCUUUUCUGUUAUUCUGGUUUUUUCUCAUCUUACUCAUCAAUUAACAACCAAACAUGGUUAUGUUCUUGUGAUGUUGGCUAGGAAUUUAUUACCAGUGGUUUAUUCAAGAACUCGAUCUCAGUCAUGCUUCAAAAUUCCAUAUACCUUCUUUAGUUUGUGGAUUGUCCAUACCAUGGUGAAAGGUUGAGUUUUUAAAGCUUUAAUUUCAAUCAGUUCGAACGUUUGUAAUUGCAGAUAUCAGUUUCUCAAAUCAAAUCUAGAUUGCAGUUGGCGCCCUCAAA
This is a non-coding RNA of Phoenix dactylifera (date palm), 1692 nucleotides long. The record is from RefSeq and is a predicted model, not a curated record. Lineage: Eukaryota; Viridiplantae; Streptophyta; Magnoliopsida; Arecales; Arecaceae.